ACAGAGGUCUCAAGCGUUGUUCGGAUUCAUUGGGCGUAAAGGGUGUGUAGGCGGCGCCGUAAGUCAGGUGUGAAAUCUCGGGGCUUAACUCCGAAACUGCAUUUGAUACUGCGGUGCUUGAGGACUGGAGAGGAGACUGGAAUUCAUGGUGUAGCAGUGAAAUGCGUAGAGAUCAUGAGGAAGACCAGUGGCGAAGGCGGGUCUCUGGACAGUUCCUGACGCUGAGACACGAAGGCCAGGGGAGCAAACGGGA
This 253-nucleotide ribosomal RNA is filed under the name uncultured prokaryote. RNAcentral describes it as "partial 16S ribosomal RNA". It matches the Rfam family "Bacterial small subunit ribosomal RNA", at positions 525 to 777 of the family's 1533-position model. The record is from RNAcentral.